CCCAGGCCGGAGCAGUCUGUUCCACACGGAGCUCCACCUCCCCACCGCCGAGCACUCUCUUGUGGCCCUCCUGCUCACCUUGCGACCCCCAAAAUGGGCUCCUGAUGUGCUGCUCGACCUCCCCCGGCGACCAUCUGAUAAGGGACCUCGUGCAGCAAUUAAGACAAGUUCAGGGGGUUUUCUGCGAAGUGUAGACCCAUAGGAACAGUGCUGUUCGAGGACCUGUAUGUAAAGAUCCGACUGCUUUUGCCGACGAUGUCUACAAGCUGAUCGUGGAUCGAGCCGUGAAAAUUCCUACAGAUCCGGAACCAGAAGAAGGUUGUUCUGAAGACCUCAAGAACUUCAUCAGGGAAUUCUCGGAAGGCCCGAACCAAAGUUUCGGACGUUAUUAACUUGACUAACCCCAGCCUCACCA
Panicum hallii is the source of this 415-nucleotide long non-coding RNA. RefSeq lists it as uncharacterized. NCBI's taxonomy places the organism in Eukaryota, Viridiplantae, Streptophyta, Magnoliopsida, Poales, Poaceae. The transcript has 3 exons. The record is from RefSeq and is a predicted model, not a curated record.